Molecule: ribosomal RNA, 784 nt
Filed under: Melitoma sp. JS-2010
Lineage: Eukaryota; Metazoa; Arthropoda; Insecta; Hymenoptera; Apidae
Also listed under: 2 other names
Description: SSU rRNA
Rfam family: Eukaryotic small subunit ribosomal RNA
Source: RNAcentral
CGGGGAGGUAGUGACGAAAAAUAACGAUACGGGACUCAUCCGAGGCCCCGUAAUCGGAAUGAGUACACUUUAAAUCCUUUAACGAGGACCAAUUGGAGGGCAAGUCUGGUGCCAGCAGCCGCGGUAAUUCCAGCUCCAAUAGCGUAUAUUAAAGUUGUUGCGGUUAAAAAGCUCGUAGUUGAAUCUGUGUGUCACAGUGUCGGUUCACCGCUCGCGGUGUCUAACUGGCAUUAUGUGGUACGUCCUACCGGUGGGCUUAGCUCCUUGCGGGCGGUCCAACUAAUCUCCCAUCGCGGUGCUCUUCACUGAGUGUCGAGGUGGGCCGGUACGUUUACUUUGAACAAAUUAGAGUGCUCAAAGCAGGCUACCUUCGCCUGAAUACUGCGUGCAUGGAAUAAUGGAAUAGGACCUCGGUUCUAUUUUGUUGGUUUUCGGAACCCCGAGGUAAUGAUUAAUAGGGACAGAUGGGGGCAUUCGUAUUGCGACGUUAGAGGUGAAAUUCUUGGAUCGUCGCAAGACGGACUAAAGCGAAAGCAUUUGCCAAAAAUGUUUUCAUUAAUCAAGAACGAAAGUUAGAGGUUCGAAGGCGAUCAGAUACCGCCCUAGUUCUAACCAUAAACGAUGCCAGCUAGCGAUCCGCCGAAGUUCCUCCGAUGACUCGGCGGGCAGCUUCCGGGAAACCAAAGCUUUUGGGUUCCGGGGGAAGUAUGGUUGCAAAGCUGAAACUUAAAGGAAUUGACGGAAGGGCACCACCAGGAGUGGAGCCUGCGGCUUAAUUUGACUC